This 527-nucleotide ribosomal RNA is filed under the name Mantis religiosa (praying mantis). Its description in RNAcentral is "eukaryotic LSU rRNA". Lineage: Eukaryota; Metazoa; Arthropoda; Insecta; Mantodea; Mantidae. The record is from RNAcentral.
AGUCAUAGUACGUGAACCGUUCAGGGGUAAACGGGAGGGAUCCGGAAGGUCGAAAGGGGAGACUCAACCCGUCCCGCUCGUCGGCACUCUGUCGCGAACUAUUCCGGAUGAGUACGGCGGCCGGCUACACCGCAAGGUGCUAGACCGGUUACGUCGUAGGCACCGGCCGGUGGGGUGUCUGGCGGCGGUGGGGUGCACUUCUCCUCCUGUAGGACGUCGCGACCCGUUGGAUUGGGGUCUAAGGCCCGGGAUGGAGCCCGUGGGGAUCGCCGAGUAAUCUCGGGUUCACGUUCCCCCGGACCCCGGUCGCCCGGCCCCAGUUCGACGGUAGCAAUCGAGGAGAUGGCCCGCUCAUGCGAGCGUCCGGCCCAGGGGCAAGCUCCACGGGUUUGCGCGUGGUGCCGCGGCUAACGCCGCGUCCCCGCCGCCCGCGGGCUGCUGGUCCCCGGAGUCCUCGGACAGCUUUGGCCGUUCUCCCGUCUGCGGCGCUUUUGCUUCGGAUGCCUUCCCGACCCGUCUUGAAACCG